GGGGGAAAUUAAAUCGGGGCUUCUAACCUUGAUUAGGGCGCGCAUGUCCGUCCCCCU
This 57-nucleotide transfer RNA is filed under the name Lyonsia norwegica. RNAcentral's name for it is "tRNA-Ser". The record is from RNAcentral. Lineage: Eukaryota; Metazoa; Mollusca; Bivalvia; Lyonsiidae.